GACGAACGCUGGCGGCGUGCUUAACACAUGCAAGUCGAACGGAAAGGCCCUGCUUUUGUGGGGUUCUCGAGUGGCGAACGGGUGAGUAACACGUGAGUAACCUGCCCUUGACUUUGGGAUAACUUCAGGAAACUGGGGCUAAUACCGGAUAGGAGCUCCUGCUGCAUGGUGGGGGUUGGAAAGUUUCGGCGGUUGGGGAUGGACUCGCGGCUUAUCAGCUUGUUGGUGGGGUAGUGGCUUACCAAGGCUUUGACGGGUAGCCGGCCUGAGAGGGUGACCGGCAACAUUGGGACUGAGAUACGGCCCAGACUCCUACGGGAGGCAGCAGUGGGGAAUCUUGCACAAUGGGCGGAAGCCUGAUGCAGCAACGCCGCGUGCGGGAUGACGGCCUUCGGGUUGUAAACCGCUUUCGCCUGUGACGAAGCGUGAGUGACGGUAAUGGGUAAAGAAGCACCGGCUAACUACGUG
This 468-nucleotide ribosomal RNA is filed under the name uncultured bacterium. RNAcentral describes it as "partial 16S ribosomal RNA". It matches the Rfam family "Bacterial small subunit ribosomal RNA", at positions 28 to 507 of the family's 1533-position model. The record is from RNAcentral.